RNAcentral lists this transfer RNA (67 nucleotides) under Nipponacmea sp. JM-2022. Its description in RNAcentral is "tRNA-Phe". The record is from RNAcentral. Lineage: Eukaryota; Metazoa; Mollusca; Gastropoda; Lottiidae.
GAGAACAUAGCCUAAGUAUAAGGUGUCAGGUUGAAGGUCUGAAGAUGGUUACAUAGACCUGUUCUCU